Non-coding RNA from Lonchura striata (white-rumped munia), 615 nucleotides. Lineage: Eukaryota; Metazoa; Chordata; Aves; Passeriformes; Estrildidae. The record is from RefSeq and is a predicted model, not a curated record.
UGCUUUUUGCCAGUACUGACAAUUUCAAUUUGGGAUGUGCACACGUCAUUGCUUCUGGAGGAUCAGGACAUUUAUCUCUUUUGCAGCUACAGUGCUGCCAUCAUGUGGAGCUGAGCAACUGCGACGGGGAAGGACCUUACUCUGAGGGUUUUUGGAGAUUUCAAAUUGGCGUAUGGACUCACCAAACUGUAGGAGUAUGAGACCCUACCUACAGCCAGAAAGAAGAAUGCAUAGCCCAUGUUUGUGGUGCACUGAUAGGCAGUGAGGAGAAGGAGCAGUCCAGCAGUUCCUUCUUUACUGGAACAUUUUUAUGUGCAAGCUGCAGCUGUUUAAUUUCCUGUGUCCACAGCACCUAUCCCAAAAUCCCAAUUAUGUCCUUUUGAGUCCUUGCAAUACCUUCUCCUGAGGCAAGUUAUGGCCAGGAUGACCUAGGCCUCUGAGCCAGUCACAAUGGGGUGAUUCUGCCAUUUGUUUGUAGUCAGACUCACUCAGCUUCCAGCAUAAUCCCUGUUGGAUUCUGUCACCCCAGAAAUCCCCAGAUGGAUUCUGCCCCUACGUAUCUUGAUGCCAUCAGGGUACUUUGUGCACCAGCGUUAAUUAAAGCCUUAUAUCUGA